UUAAGCGACUAAGCGUACACGGUGGAUGCCCUGGCAGUCAGAGGCGAUGAAGGACGUGCUAAUCUGCGAAAAGCGUCGGUAAGGUGAUAUGAACCGUUAUAACCGGCGAUGUCCGAAUGGGGAAACCCAGUGCAAUUCGUUGCACUAUCGUUAACUGAAUACAUAGGUUAACGAGGCGAACCGGGGGAACUGAAACAUCUAAGUACCCCGAGGAAAAGAAAUCAACCGAGAUUCCCCCAGUAGCGGCGAGCGAACGGGGAGCAGCCCAGAGUCUGAAUCAGCUUGUGUGUUAGUGGAACGGUCUGGAAAGUCCGACGGUACAGGGUGAUAGUCCCGUACACCAAAAUGCACAGGCUGUGAACUCGAAGAGUAGGGCGGGACACGUGGUAUCCUGUCUGAAUAUGGGGGGACCAUCCUCCAAGGCUAAAUACUCCUGACUGACCGAUAGUGAACCAGUACCGUGAGGGAAAGGCGAAAAGAACCCCGGCGAGGGGAGUGAAAAAGAACCUGAAACCGUGUACGUACAAGCAGUGGGAGCACCUUCGGGUGUGACUGCGUACCUUUUGUAUAAUGGGUCAGCGACUUAUAUUCUGUAGCAAGGUUAACCGUAUAGGGGAGCCGCAGGGAAACCGAGUCUUAACUGGGCGUUAAGUUGCAGGGUAUAGACCCGAAACCCGGUGAUCUAGCCAUGGGCAGGUUGAAGGUUGGGUAACACUAACUGGAGGACCGAACCGACUAAUGUUGAAAAAUUAGCGGAUGACUUGUGGCUGGGGGUGAAAGGCCAAUCAAACCGGGAGAUAGCUGGUUCUCCCCGAAAGCUAUUUAGGUAGCGCCUCGUGAAUUCAUCUUCGGGGGUAGAGCACUGUUUCGGCUAGGGGGUCAUCCCGACUUACCAACCCGAUGCAAACUACGAAUACCGAAGAAUGUUAUCACGGGAGACACACGGCGGGUGCUAACGUCCGUCGUGAAGAGGGAAACAACCCAGACCGCCAGCUAAGGUCCCAAAGUCAUGGUUAAGUGGGAAACGAUGUGGGAAGGCACAGACAGCCAGGAUGUUGGCUUAGAAGCAGCCAUCAUUUAAAGAAAGCGUAAUAGCUCACUGGUCGAGUCGGCCUGCGCGGAAGAUGUAACGGGGCUAAACCAUGCACCGAAGCUGCGGCAGCGACACUAUGUGUUGUUGGGUAGGGGAGCGUUCUGUAAGCCUGCGAAGGUGACCUGUGAGGGCUGCUGGAGGUAUCAGAAGUGCGAAUGCUGACAUAAGUAACGAUAAAGCGGGUGAAAAGCCCGCUCGCCGGAAGACCAAGGGUUCCUGUCCAACGUUAAUCGGGGCAGGGUGAGUCGACCCCUAAGGCGAGGCCGAAAGGCGUAGUCGAUGGGAAACAGGUUAAUAUUCCUGUACUUGGUGUUACUGCGAAGGGGGGACGGAGAAGGCUAUGUUAGCCGGGCGACGGUUGUCCCGGUUUAAGCAUGUAGGCUGGUUAUCCAGGCAAAUCCGGAUAAUCAAGGCUGAGGUGUGAUGACGAGGCACUACGGUGCUGAAGUAACAAAUGCCCUGCUUCCAGGAAAAGCCUCUAAGCAUCAGGUAACAUCAAAUCGUACCCCAAACCGACACAGGUGGUCAGGUAGAGAAUACCAAGGCGCUUGAGAGAACUCGGGUGAAGGAACUAGGCAAAAUGGUGCCGUAACUUCGGGAGAAGGCACGCUGGUGUGUAGGUGAAGCCCCUGCGGGUGGAGCUGAGACCAGUCGAAGAUACCAGCUGGCUGCAACUGUUUAUUAAAAACACAGCACUGUGCAAACACGAAAGUGGACGUAUACGGUGUGACGCCUGCCCGGUGCCGGAAGGUUAAUUGAUGGGGUUAUCCGUAAGGAGAAGCUCUUGAUCGAAGCCCCGGUAAACGGCGGCCGUAACUAUAACGGUCCUAAGGUAGCGAAAUUCCUUGUCGGGUAAGUUCCGACCUGCACGAAUGGCGUAAUGAUGGCCAGGCUGUCUCCACCCGAGACUCAGUGAAAUUGAACUCGCUGUGAAGAUGCAGUGUACCCGCGGCAAGACGGAAAGACCCCGUGAACCUUUACUAUAGCUUGACACUGAACAUUGAGCCUUGAUGUGUAGGAUAGGUGGGAGGCUUUGAAGCGUGGACGCCAGUCUGCGUGGAGCCAACCUUGAAAUACCACCCUUUAAUGUUUGAUGUUCUAACGUUGGCCCCUUACCGGGGUUGCGGACAGUGUCUGGUGGGUAGUUUGACUGGGGCGGUCUCCUCCCAAAGCGUAACGGAGGAGCACGAAGGUUAGCUAAUCCUGGUCGGACAUCAGGAGGUUAGUGCAAUGGCAUAAGCUAGCUUGACUGCGAGCGUGACGGCGCGAGCAGGUGCGAAAGCAGGUCAUAGUGAUCCGGUGGUUCUGAAUGGAAGGGCCAUCGCUCAACGGAUAAAAGGUACUCCGGGGAUAACAGGCUGAUACCGCCCAAGAGUUCAUAUCGACGGCGGUGUUUGGCACCUCGAUGUCGGCUCAUCACAUCCUGGGGCUGAAGUAGGUCCCAAGGGUAUGGCUGUUCGCCAUUUAAAGUGGUACGCGAGCUGGGUUUAGAACGUCGUGAGACAGUUCGGUCCCUAUCUGCCGUGGGCGCUGGAGAAUUGAGGGGGGCUGCUCCUAGUACGAGAGGACCGGAGUGGACGCAUCACUGGUGUUCGGGUUGUCAUGCCAAUGGCACUGCCCGGUAGCUAAAUGCGGAAGAGAUAAGUGCUGAAAGCAUCUAAGCACGAAACUUGCCCCGAGAUGAGUUCUCCCUGAGACUUUAAGUCUCCUGAAGGAACGUUAAAGACGAUGACGUUGAUAGGCCGGGUGUGUAAGCGCAGCGAUGCGUUGAGCUAACCGGUACUAAUGAACCGUGAGGCUUAACCUU
Molecule: ribosomal RNA, 2900 nt
Filed under: Klebsiella pneumoniae
Lineage: Bacteria; Pseudomonadati; Pseudomonadota; Gammaproteobacteria; Enterobacterales; Enterobacteriaceae
Also listed under: 1 other name
Description: bacterial LSU rRNA
Rfam family: Bacterial large subunit ribosomal RNA
Source: RNAcentral